Humulus lupulus (European hop) is the source of this 1723-nucleotide long non-coding RNA. RefSeq lists it as uncharacterized. NCBI's taxonomy places the organism in Eukaryota, Viridiplantae, Streptophyta, Magnoliopsida, Rosales, Cannabaceae. The transcript has 2 exons. The record is from RefSeq and is a predicted model, not a curated record.
CAAGGUCCUCUGCCUCCAAAUACGCACAACAGCUAUGAGCGAGGCUUCUUCGACCGCUGUCCCUGCAAUGGUCUUCCAUACGAGUGUGCCAGACGAGGUCCUCUGCUUCUUCGACCGUCGUCCUUGCAAUGGCUCCAAGUUUGGCCUUCGACGACGUGCAUUAGGCCAAGCACGUUUUCAGUGUCUCAAAGCCCUCAUCUCUCUUUCUCCAAUGUACGAGAACGACAAGGCUCGAUGAGGUAUCUCACUCUCUCUAUCUCUCUUUCUCUAACAUUUUGUCUCUCACUCUUUUUGUAGCUGCGACGACGAGGUGGGAGUCAUAUGACUGGCAAUGAAUGGGUUGAGAUGCGAGGCUGGAGGCAAUGUCAAACCAUGGGGUUGGCGGCGACGAUGGAGCACAGACCAAUGGGGAUUUCUACAGUAUCUCUUUCGUUUACACAUCCAAAGUUUUUCUUUUCUUUUCUAUUAAUGUAUAUAUUUUACAAAUCUAUUUAUAUAUAUUUUUGGUACAAAUAUAUUGUUUUACGUUUUUUUUUUAAUUUGACUAGUUAUGCUCUAUUAUAUAGAUUUAAUUUCUAUUACAUGUAUAAGUAUAAUCCACAACUACUGAGUGUACCAAUGGCCUUCAUUUGUCUAACUUGUAUCAUCAUGUGUUUCAAUUUUGACUUGCUAAUUUUAUCUUAAGUAUAUUAGAAGAGUCGAUAUUUGACUUCUACAACUAUAUAUUACCAUCAUGAGCCAUAAACAAAAUUGAGAUAUAGUUUUAGAAAACUAGAAAGUAGUGAAGAGGAAGAAUAAUGCCAUGCUCUAAUUUUGAGGAAUAAUAAUAUAGUGGCUAUAUCAUUGCUCUUGUUACUAUGACAAUUAAAAAGUUCAACAAAUUGACAAGUUAAAAUGAUUAUACUUUUUUUUCUUAUAAUAAUGUACUGGUUAGAAGAAAAUGGUUUUGUGCUCAUUUGUGGAAAACAUGAUUCUACUUGCAUUUAAACAAUAUGUUUUGAUAUAUUUUUCUCCAAAUUUGUAAAACUUUAUACAAUCUUAUAUUCCACUAGAGAAUAGUCACAGUAUCUUUAGAGAUAAUAACUAAAUGAUACACGCAGACAUUAUGAAAUCAAGUUUACAAGUCGAUGUAAUCGUUUUAGUACUGUUCAUUUCAUGAUAAUACUGCUAGUCUUUGAAUUUUUUUGUCUUUCUUAACAUUAUUGCUGCUGAAUGGCUAGUUUUGGUCAUAAAUUAUUGAUUGGUUAUAGAAUAAAAUGGUAGAAACAGGGUCAUGCUUUUUGGUUUGAUUUGGUCUCAUUUAAUUUUUCUUGAUGUGUUAGCUCUGAGUAACAGGGUCGUGCUUUGUUUUGGCUAAGAAUCAUUAAAAGGUAUUUGUUGAUUGUACCAAGGUACGUACGAGGUUGGUCGUUUGCUAGCUAACGAAAGCAACAAUACAAGGUGGAAGUGGAAGUCAUAUAUUAGUUAUUAUGAUUGUUCCUUUUUCAUUUUGAUGUGUAUUUGUUGUAUAAAUCUGAGUGAAAUAUUCUACAUUAUAUAUAAGUACAUACAUGAUCAGCUUAUUUAGUAUGGAUACUAGAAUAUUUUGGGUUAGUUUUUGUUGUUUGUAAUUUUAAAACUGUUUAAUUGGUCAUAUGUUAUUUUUAUUUUAAUGUUAACUUGGUGUUUGUUCUAAAUUAGUGUAUAUGAUUUUAGUAUAAUUAUGAAGAUACCCUUUUCUUAU